RNAcentral lists this long non-coding RNA (497 nucleotides) under Lepisosteus oculatus (spotted gar). RNAcentral describes it as "lncRNA (ENSLOCG00000023221.1)". Lineage: Eukaryota; Metazoa; Chordata; Actinopteri; Semionotiformes; Lepisosteidae. The record is from RNAcentral.
GUGUGUGUCAGGUGGAGCUGGGCGUCGAGACUCGUUAAGAGGGGUAACACACUAACCCCUGUGUCUCCGCAGGGGCAGCUGCGGGGGCUGCAGCCAGGCCACUGAAACAGGGUGAGUAGAGUCCCACCCCUCGCCGAGCUCCGCACAGCGAAGCACAAUCCUCGCGUGACUUGUCGCGUGUGUUUCAGGUUACGGCGUCCAGCCAGGCUAUGGAGCAGGAGCGGCACUCGGGCUACCUCAGGCCAGGAAACAGAAAGCAGGUUAUGGCGGCAAUGGAUAUGCUUAUGGGGCUCAGCCACUCGGAGGAUACGGACCUGGGGCAGGAGCCUAUCUGGGGGCGGGGCUUGGGGCAGGGUUUGGGAAUGGAGCAGCUGGGUUCGCUGGGCUGGGCGAUGGAGGUAAGACUGAGCACAGAGAUUCGGACACACUGAUAUUGUACUUGUAAGAUAUACCCUAAUUAUACAGUACCUGUCUCCUCUCUCUCUCUCCUCUCCCCC